This is a long non-coding RNA of Strigops habroptila (Kakapo), 2199 nucleotides long. Lineage: Eukaryota; Metazoa; Chordata; Aves; Psittaciformes; Psittacidae. The record is from Ensembl.
UACAUUUUCUGUAUAUCUUUGUUACAAUCAAAUAAUCACCAUCCUUACACAGACAGACACUGUGUGUAUAUAUCUAUUAUUUACCUGUGUGUGGCUGUUGUGCAGUUACAAGCAAUGGCUUUUAGCAACCUGCUGCUUGUCUUCCAGACGAGUUCAGCGGCACGUUUUCUUCCUUCCAUUCUGUUCCUGCUUCACAUCUUUAAAGAGCUGGAGGGCUGCACAUGUGCCUUCUCGGGUGGGAGCUGGUUCUCUUACUCUGGAAAAUAAAAGCACAACAAAAGUUUUGAGAUGAUUACAACACAUCCUCAAGUGCAGCUUCCCUGCAGGGUGCCUGAUGUGUACCUAGUUUUAAAAUGAAGAACAAGUGAAGCUGAAGGAUUGCAGCUGAUUUGCUUUCCACGCUUGUGUCUAAUGAAAUUGCAUUGUGCAAAAGGGGCAGGUUAGUGUCACUGGAAACUGGGCAUGCCUUUACCAAGGAAUCAAAUCUAUGUGUCAGACCUACUCGAAGUGCUGCUCUCCAGCUAAACCAGAAACCUCUGAAAUGCCUUAUCUGCCAUUACAGCAUGUUCUUCUCUAGGUAAAAUUCCAAUUAAUUGCCUGAAAGAAAUCCUUUUGCAUUGUCCAAAUCCUGAACAAUUGCAUUUGCUUUGCUUUUUAAGGGUAUUUUUUCUUCUGUCUACACUGGCCACCACAGCUGCCACCAGAAGGGUAACUGGUACUUCCUCCUGGUGUAAUUGGCCCCAAUUCAACGGCAGUGCCAGAGUGUUUGAGUCACACACGUUGGACUUACAAUGUCUGAUAGGAAAAAUAAUGUUUUAUGAAACAUAAUGUUUUAAAUACAAGUUCUCCUACACCACCAAGUUCCUUGCUAAUCUGUUCCAAUACUUACUCACCCUUAUUGUAACAAGCAUGUGCCUUUUUUCCACUUUGAGUUGGCUGUCCUCAGCUCCCAGCCUUUGUUCCUUCCUACUCUGCCUGCCAAAUAAAACCCUUUUAGUACCCGGCCUUCUCUCCCUGAGCAUGUUUGCACAGAGAUGAAGGGGCCUGUUGAUCUCCAUAAGCUGAAGAGACAGGACUGCUUUAAGUCUCUCCCUACAAAGAAAUUUCUCCAGGAUUUCUGUAAUGUUUGUGUUUCAGACCUUACAUUUCUUGACAUUUAGGAAGGGACAUCAGAACCCACACUGAGAUUUGUCUCCAUUUUGCUCUCCACAGACUGCAUGACAUUCUUAGUCAGCUUCUUUGUAUCCUCAAAGACUGUCUUAACCCUUUUGGCAGGAGAUGAGCUAAGGUUUAGACCUCCCCUCAGCUUUUUCUGGGUAGCUGAGUUACAGACUCCCUUUCCUGCAGGUGUGGACAAUAUUUUCUUCCUUGUGUUAAUGCAGCUAAAUGCAAAAUUAAGUCCCCCUUCGUUUGGCAGGCCUGGCUUACUGAGAAAUACAGGCUUUUCUGUGUGUGUUCCCACCAUGCUGUUGCUCACCAGUGUUUCAGGAGUGACUUCAGAUCUGCUUCUCAAUCACUGAUGGAAGUGUCAAAUAGGACGGGGUGCAGCAGUGAUUUGAGCAGGAUCUCACAGGAAACAUCCCUAUUUGAAGGACAGGGGCAAACCGUUUGAGAUCUGUCAGGGAGACAAUCUUCAUCCACGUGUGGAUUGUUUGUUUUAUAUUGCAGAUAGUUAUCUGCAGAUACUGCUUACGCUGCAGAGUGCCAUGCCAGGUGAUGUGUCUUUACAAUUAGACUUAACUAAGCCUGGUUGAAUGACAGGGUCUAUUUUUGAUGGAGUUUAAUUGCAUGUUUGCCUUUAAUUCUUUAUUAAUGGAUUUCUGAUGCCGUUUUCAGACUCCUACCUCUGAUGUCAGAUUAACUGGCCUUUAUCUGAGUUGACAUCUUUGCCCUGUGUUGCUCCAGUGACCUGCCUGCACCCAGCACACCCUGAAGGCAAAGCGGGUGAGCACGGCGGCUGUUGUACAUGAAAUACCUGGGCUUGCUCUGCCUGGUUGCUAACAGAGUGGCAAAUACAUCAUCCCACUUGCUUCAAGCUGAAAUAUCAACCUCCUGCACUUCUAUAGUCUGCAGCAGGCCCCCACCGCAUUUAAAGCACUGCUUUUGUUCCUAAUAGAUUAAAAUUUCUCUUGUAUCAUCCUUAUCUUUUCAGUGAUUUCUUUUUAAGCUUUGUCAAGAUUACAGAAAUUAUCCCUUUUA